This 119-nucleotide ribosomal RNA is filed under the name Pteropus alecto (black flying fox). Lineage: Eukaryota; Metazoa; Chordata; Mammalia; Chiroptera; Pteropodidae. The record is from RNAcentral.
GUCUGCAGCCAUGCUACCCUGAACAAGCCUGAUCCUGUCUGAUCUCAAAAGCUGAGAAGGGUCGGGCCUGGUUAAUACUUGGAUGGGAGACCACCUAGGAAAACCAGGUGCUGUAGGAA